Molecule: ribosomal RNA, 2296 nt
Filed under: Staphylococcus aureus
Lineage: Bacteria; Bacillati; Bacillota; Bacilli; Caryophanales; Staphylococcaceae
Description: bacterial LSU rRNA
Rfam family: Bacterial large subunit ribosomal RNA
Source: RNAcentral
UUAAGUUAUUAAGGGCGCACGGUGGAUGCCUUGGCACUAGAAGCCGAUGAAGGACGUUACUAACGACGAUAUGCUUUGGGGAGCUGUAAGUAAGCUUUGAUCCAGAGAUUUCCGAAUGGGGAAACCCAGCAUGAGUUAUGUCAUGUUAUCGAUAUGUGAAUACAUAGCAUAUCAGAAGGCACACCCGGAGAACUGAAACAUCUUAGUACCCGGAGGAAGAGAAAGAAAAUUCGAUUCCCUUAGUAGCGGCGAGCGAAACGGGAAGAGCCCAAACCAACAAGCUUGCUUGUUGGGGUUGUAGGACACUCUAUACGGAGUUACAAAGGACGACAUUAGACGAAUCAUCUGGAAAGAUGAAUCAAAGAAGGUAAUAAUCCUGUAGUCGAAAAUGUUGUCUCUCUUGAGUGGAUCCUGAGUACGACGGAGCACGUGAAAUUCCGUCGGAAUCUGGGAGGACCAUCUCCUAAGGCUAAAUACUCUCUAGUGACCGAUAGUGAACCAGUACCGUGAGGGAAAGGUGAAAAGCACCCCGGAAGGGGAGUGAAAUAGAACCUGAAACCGUGUGCUUACAAGUAGUCAGAGCCCGUUAAUGGGUGAUGGCGUGCCUUUUGUAGAAUGAACCGGCGAGUUACGAUUUGAUGCAAGGUUAAGCAGUAAAUGUGGAGCCGUAGCGAAAGCGAGUCUGAAUAGGGCGUUUAGUAUUUGGUCGUAGACCCGAAACCAGGUGAUCUACCCUUGGUCAGGUUGAAGUUCAGGUAACACUGAAUGGAGGACCGAACCGACUUACGUUGAAAAGUGAGCGGAUGAACUGAGGGUAGCGGAGAAAUUCCAAUCGAACCUGGAGAUAGCUGGUUCUCUCCGAAAUAGCUUUAGGGCUAGCCUCAAGUGAUGAUUAUUGGAGGUAGAGCACUGUUUGGACGAGGGGCCCCUCUCGGGUUACCGAAUUCAGACAAACUCCGAAUGCCAAUUAAUUUAACUUGGGAGUCAGAACAUGGGUGAUAAGGUCCGUGUUCGAAAGGGAAACAGCCCAGACCACCAGCUAAGGUCCCAAAAUAUAUGUUAAGUGGAAAAGGAUGUGGCGUUGCCCAGACAACUAGGAUGUUGGCUUAGAAGCAGCCAUCAUUUAAAGAGUGCGUAAUAGCUCACUAGUCGAGUGACACUGCGCCGAAAAUGUACCGGGGCUAAACAUAUUACCGAAGCUGUGGAUUGUCCUUUGGACAAUGGUAGGAGAGCGUUCUAAGGGCGUUGAAGCAUGAUCGUAAGGACAUGUGGAGCGCUUAGAAGUGAGAAUGCCGGUGUGAGUAGCGAAAGACGGGUGAGAAUCCCGUCCACCGAUUGACUAAGGUUUCCAGAGGAAGGCUCGUCCGCUCUGGGUUAGUCGGGUCCUAAGCUGAGGCCGACAGGCGUAGGCGAUGGAUAACAGGUUGAUAUUCCUGUACCACCUAUAAUCGUUUUAAUCGAUGGGGGGACGCAGUAGGAUAGGCGAAGCGUGCGAUUGGAUUGCACGUCUAAGCAGUAAGGCUGAGUAUUAGGCAAAUCCGGUACUCGUUAAGGCUGAGCUGUGAUGGGGAGAAGACAUUGAGUCUUCGAGUCGUUGAUUUCACACUGCCGAGAAAAGCCUCUAGAUAGAAAAUAGGUGCCCGUACCGCAAACCGACACAGGUAGUCAAGAUGAGAAUUCUAAGGUGAGCGAGCGAACUCUCGUUAAGGAACUCGGCAAAAUGACCCCGUAACUUCGGGAGAAGGGGUGCUCUUUAGGGUUAACGCCCAGAAGAGCCGCAGUGAAUAGGCCCAAGCGACUGUUUAUCAAAAACACAGGUCUCUGCUAAACCGUAAGGUGAUGUAUAGGGGCUGACGCCUGCCCGGUGCUGGAAGGUUAAGAGGAGUGGUUAGCUUCUGCGAAGCUACGAAUCGAAGCCCCAGUAAACGGCGGCCGUAACUAUAACGGUCCUAAGGUAGCGAAAUUCCUUGUCGGGUAAGUUCCGACCCGCACGAAAGGCGUAACGAUUUGGGCACUGUCUCAACGAGAGACUCGGUGAAAUCAUAGUACCUGUGAAGAUGCAGGUUACCCGCGACAGGACGGAAAGACCCCGUGGAGCUUUACUGUAGCCUGAUAUUGAAAUUCGGCACAGCUUGUACAGGAUAGGUAGGAGCCUUUGAAACGUGAGCGCUAGCUUACGUGGAGGCGCUGGUGGGAUACUACCCUAGCUGUGUUGGCUUUCUAACCCGCACCACUUAUCGUGGUGGGAGACAGUGUCAGGCGGGCAGUUUGACUGGGGCGGUCGCCUCCUAAAAGG